UUUGAUUUCCAAAGCAUUUGAAUUUAAUAAUCGUUCGAUUGUUUUUCGAUUGAUGUGACAACUAGCGACAUCACAUCAAAUCGAAUCGGAAAGUGGCAAGUGAAUUUUGACAGAUUCACAUCAGGAAAUUUCGUUGUACAUUAAAUUAUGUAAUCGUUUGUCACAAAACAAUCCAAUUAUAUUCAAUAUUUCGUAAUAAAAAUCAACAAACUUGCACUACAUUUUCAUGGUUAAAGAGCCAUUCAACGAAUUGACCAUUCAUCGGAGCAAAUGCAACAAUUCGUGACGGCGCAUUUAUCAAAAACAUCAGAUAUUCACACAGACGAAAUUGAUGAAAUACACAGAGAAGGAGAGAAUGUGCUGAUGUUGUUGGGUUGCCAAAUGGAGUGUUCAUUCAAACAGAUCUGAUUUGGAAAUUUAAAUUGAACGUCAAAGGCUACAUGAAAGAUGCAUCCCAUGAAUAAAUGGAUUUUUUUUCGUUUCCAAGAAACAAAUGUAAAAUUGACAUUAAUCGACAGCUACUAUGAUUAAACAACGAAUGUUCCGUGUCGAUGGCAAAGAAAGAUGGCCAUGUUAUUUGGGGCAAUGGCGAUAAGGAUGAAAAUUGUGUGUUCAAUUUAAAGAUUGCAGACAAUGGGCAACUCCAGGGCAAAAUUGGCUCUUCACGCAUUCUACAUCCAAUAUUGACAAGGACUGUGUACGUGUAUUCAAAAGCGAAAUUGGCUUUUGAAAAUGCCUAGCCUGCUGAUAAAUUGGCUAUCUCGGAGCGCACACAAAAUAAAUGGUCGGACGGCGUUCAGGUGUUUGCGGACAAUCAAUGCCACUUUUUCUUGUGAGGAUUUCAAGUGUGGACGGAAGAUGGAAUGAACGAAAAAGACGAAGAAAAACAAAUCCAGGCAAAGGUAGAAGUGCGAACUACACGAAGAAGUACGACGCUAAUUAUACAACCAAAAACCGAAAUACAAUUUAUUUUCUCGUCCAAUUUUGUUUCGGCUUCAUUUCAACUCACCGAAUUCGAAUGCAACAAGAAAUUUUUUUUACCGUAGCUAUUGUUCUAGAAUUUAUAUUAUCGGUAUUUAUUAUCGAGGGUCUUUGAUUUUAAUUUUUAUUAAAAACAUCGAGCACAAAUAAAAAGAAAAUGUUCAAGUAUUUAAAUGAUU
Long non-coding RNA from Contarinia nasturtii (swede midge), 1160 nucleotides. RefSeq lists it as uncharacterized. The record is from RefSeq and is a predicted model, not a curated record. NCBI's taxonomy places the organism in Eukaryota, Metazoa, Arthropoda, Insecta, Diptera, Cecidomyiidae. The transcript is spliced from 6 exons.